Long non-coding RNA from Cydia pomonella (codling moth), 871 nucleotides. RefSeq lists it as uncharacterized. The transcript has 2 exons. NCBI's taxonomy places the organism in Eukaryota, Metazoa, Arthropoda, Insecta, Lepidoptera, Tortricidae. The record is from RefSeq and is a predicted model, not a curated record.
UCAUAUUUUCUCACGUUUACUAAAACUAAUAAGACAGUACCCAUGAAUAUCUCGGGCAGAAGCCUACCUCUGCAUAUCGAUAACUGUCGGAAGUCGGUGAAUGGGGUGUCUCCUUGCAAGUGUAACGUUAUAGUUAGAGCUGAAAAGGUAAAAUAUCUGGGUUUAUUGAUUGACGGCAAUCUUUCAUUUAAACACCACUUUCAGCACUAAGUGGAAGAGUAAGGAAAUGUAUAUAUAUCAUGAAAAAGCUUCGCUGUUGCACCUCAGAGCAAGUGCUACGGCUUGUCUACUAUGCCCUCUGCCAAUCAAUAAUCAAAUAUGGCAUCGCAGUCUGGGGCAGUGCCGCAAAAACCACACUUAUAACGCUGGAGAGGGCUCAGCGUGCUGUCAUCAAGGUCAUGCUGCGCAAACCUCUUUUUUACCCAACGAAUUCCCUUUACCGGGACUCGAAACUCCUAAGCGUGAGACGGUUAUAUGUGUCUAAAGCAGUAGCUCAAGCUCAUGCAACGGUAAAAAUGUGGCUUGUGUCGUUAACAUAUCACGAAACGGAGGCUCUUCUUGUACCAAGUUAACGCACGCGCACACGCAUACGCACACACACGAACACACACACACACACACACACACACACACACACACACAUAUUUGUAUAGUAGUAUCCACCGUUUUGUAAUGUAUUUUAGUGUGUUGUUAUAUUUUAGUUUUUUAAUCUUCUCUUUCUGAUUUGUAACGUCUGUACCUAUUUGUAACGUCUUUAUCCUUAUUGCCAAUGUAUUGCACUCAAGGGUCCCGAGAUACAGGCUCAGCCUAGUUUGGGGUCCGCCAGUAUACCAAUUAUGUUUUUCUGUGUUCUGUAUAGAAAUAAAUAAUU